GCCCCCGUAGCUCAGUGGAUUAGAGCACUGGUUUCCGGGGCCAGGUGUCACAGGUUCGAAUCCUGUCGGGGGUG
This 74-nucleotide transfer RNA is filed under the name Caldilineaceae bacterium. Its description in RNAcentral is "tRNA-Arg". It matches the Rfam family "tRNA". From Rfam's summary of the family: Transfer RNA (tRNA) molecules are approximately 80 nucleotides in length. Their secondary structure includes four short double-helical elements and three loops (D, anti-codon, and T loops). Further hydrogen bonds mediate the characteristic L-shaped molecular structure. tRNAs have two regions of fundamental functional importance: the anti-codon, which is responsible for specific mRNA codon recognition, and the 3' end, to which the tRNAs corresponding amino acid is attached (by aminoacyl-tRNA synthetases). tRNAs cope with the degeneracy of the genetic code in two manners: having more than one tRNA (with a specific anti-codon) for a particular amino acid; and 'wobble' base-pairing, i.e. permitting non-standard base-pairing at the 3rd anti-codon position. Lineage: Bacteria; Bacillati; Chloroflexota; Caldilineae; Caldilineales; Caldilineaceae. The record is from RNAcentral.